RNAcentral lists this transfer-messenger RNA (398 nucleotides) under Blattabacterium sp. (Blattella germanica) str. Bge. Its description in RNAcentral is "transfer-messenger RNA Blatt_sp_Bge". It matches the Rfam family "transfer-messenger RNA". Rfam says of the family: Bacterial tmRNA, also known as 10Sa RNA or SsrA, is named for its dual tRNA and mRNA-like properties. Its role is to liberate the mRNA from a stalled ribosome. To accomplish this part of the tmRNA is used as a reading frame that ends in a translation stop signal. Lineage: Bacteria; Pseudomonadati; Bacteroidota; Flavobacteriia; Flavobacteriales; Blattabacteriaceae. The record is from RNAcentral.
GGGGCUGAUUUUGGAUUUGACAGCAAGAUUAGUUAUAAAAGAAAGCAUACCGUGUUACGUAAGGUUUUUCACGUAAAUCAAGCGUUACAAAAUAAUAAACGGCGAACAACAAUACGCUUUUGCUGCUUAAUGUUCAAUUAAGCUUUAUCUGCAAAAAUGCAGAAGUAAAAUAUCUCUCAGAAAUUCUUCCUUAUAGUUUCUGAUAUAGAGGUACAAGAAGAUGUUAAGGAUUAGGAAAACAGAUGAUUCUUAAGUUUUCUGAAAAAUUGUUUUGAAUCUUAGUUUUGAUUUCGGAUCCAAAACUGGAAUAGAAACGUAAUAAUUUUUUUUGGAUAAGUAUGUAGAAAACUUUUAUGCUACUUGUUUGGACGCGGGUUCAAAUCCCGCCAGCUCCACCA